This 260-nucleotide ribosomal RNA is filed under the name uncultured bacterium. RNAcentral describes it as "partial 16S ribosomal RNA". It matches the Rfam family "Bacterial small subunit ribosomal RNA", at positions 99 to 354 of the family's 1533-position model. The record is from RNAcentral.
CGAACGGGUGAGUAACACUGGGCAACCUGCCCAAAAGAGGGGGAUAACACUUGGAAACAGGUGCUAAUACCGCAUAACCAUAGUUACCGCAUGGUAACUAUGUAAAAGGUGGCUAUGCUACCGCUUUUGGAUGGGCCCGCGGCGCAUUAGCUAGUUGGUGGGGUAAAGGCUUACCAAGGCAAUGAUGCGUAGCCGAACUGAGAGGUUGAUCGGCCACAUUGGGACUGAGACACGGCCCAAACUCCUACGGAAGGCAGCAG